AAUUCGGUCUUGCGCAAUGAGCGGUUGUGAACCCCGUCAGGUCCGGAAGGAAGCAGCGGUAAGCGACUUACCUUAUGUGCCGCGAGGGUGCCGAGUUUCU
This 100-nucleotide signal recognition particle RNA is filed under the name Negativicutes bacterium. Its description in RNAcentral is "signal recognition particle sRNA small type". It matches the Rfam family "Bacterial small signal recognition particle RNA". From Rfam's summary of the family: The signal recognition particle (SRP) is a universally conserved ribonucleoprotein involved in the co-translational targeting of proteins to membranes. Archaeal SRP consists of a 7S RNA and homologues of the eukaryotic SRP19 and SRP54 proteins. The record is from RNAcentral. Lineage: Bacteria; Bacillati; Bacillota; Negativicutes.